GACUUAUUAGGUCAAAUGAUUAGAUUGUUGUGCUAAUAAUGCGAAAGUCACAAGUUCAAUUCUUGUAUGGGCCA
Molecule: non-coding RNA, 74 nt
Organism: Glycine max (soybean)
Lineage: Eukaryota; Viridiplantae; Streptophyta; Magnoliopsida; Fabales; Fabaceae
Source: Rfam